Alnus glutinosa is the source of this 429-nucleotide long non-coding RNA. RefSeq lists it as uncharacterized. NCBI's taxonomy places the organism in Eukaryota, Viridiplantae, Streptophyta, Magnoliopsida, Fagales, Betulaceae. The transcript is spliced from 3 exons. The record is from RefSeq and is a predicted model, not a curated record.
AUCAAGCAGGUGUGUGGUAAAAUAGCCCCACCAAAACACAACCCUAUUCCUCUGAAACUAGAGUCUCUGAGCAAUCAUGGCCACUAGUUCCAAUUCCUCAAUCUCUAGCCGGCUACUCAAAUCUUCAAAAAUGGAUCUCGUUGCAUGCCUGCCAAAGGAACAGUUGAACCGCACGGGGGACCUGCAGCUUCCAGAUAGUUUUCAACACGGUGUUGGUUGCUGUAUUCAUCGAGCUACUGCCUUGGUUCCAUGCCCAGCAUUCGACCUCUAAAUGGUUAUGAAGAAGAAGAAUAUCAGGACUAUCCAAACCCUUAGAUGGAUCCUGAUACUAGUAUUUGAGGCUAGACUACCUCCUUUUUGUGAACUACUAUGUUGUAGUUCACUGACUUAGUUUCAGAGACAAUAUUUAUAUUUUUGCUAUUAUGAAAA